CAGUGGGGAAUCUUGCGCAAUGGGCGAAAGCCUGACGCAGCCAUGCCGCGUGAAUGAUGAAGGUCUUAGGAUUGUAAAAUUCUUUUAGCAGGGACGAUAAUGACGGUACCUGCAGAAAAAGCCCCGGCUAACUUCGUGCCAGCAGCCGCGGUAAUACGAAGGGGGCUAGCGUUGCUCGGAAUUACUGGGCGUAAAGGGAGCGUAGGCGGGUUAUCAAGUUGGAGGUGAAAGCCCAGGGCUCAACCUUGGAAUUGCCUUCAAAACUGAUAACCUAGAGGAUGAUAGAGGUAAGUGGAACUCCGAGUGUAGAGGUGAAAUUCGUAGAUAUUCGGAAGAACACCAGUGGCGAAGGCGACUUACUGGAUCAUUACUGACGCUGAGGCUCGAAAGCGUGGGGAGCAAACAGGAUUAGA
Molecule: ribosomal RNA, 413 nt
Filed under: uncultured bacterium
Lineage: Bacteria
Description: bacterial SSU rRNA
Rfam family: Bacterial small subunit ribosomal RNA
Source: RNAcentral